Molecule: transfer RNA, 85 nt
Filed under: Felis catus (domestic cat)
Lineage: Eukaryota; Metazoa; Chordata; Mammalia; Carnivora; Felidae
Rfam family: tRNA
About the family: Transfer RNA (tRNA) molecules are approximately 80 nucleotides in length. Their secondary structure includes four short double-helical elements and three loops (D, anti-codon, and T loops). Further hydrogen bonds mediate the characteristic L-shaped molecular structure. tRNAs have two regions of fundamental functional importance: the anti-codon, which is responsible for specific mRNA codon recognition, and the 3' end, to which the tRNAs corresponding amino acid is attached (by aminoacyl-tRNA synthetases). tRNAs cope with the degeneracy of the genetic code in two manners: having more than one tRNA (with a specific anti-codon) for a particular amino acid; and 'wobble' base-pairing, i.e. permitting non-standard base-pairing at the 3rd anti-codon position.
Source: Rfam by way of RNAcentral
GCCUGGGUGGCUCAGUCGGUUGAGCAUCUGAUUUCAGCUCAGGUAUUGAUUUUGCAGUCCAUGAGUUCGAACCCCACGUCGGGCU